RNAcentral lists this long non-coding RNA (8379 nucleotides) under Lactuca sativa (garden lettuce). RNAcentral describes it as "long non-coding RNA (LSAT_LNC001917)". The record is from RNAcentral. Lineage: Eukaryota; Viridiplantae; Streptophyta; Magnoliopsida; Asterales; Asteraceae.
UUCUUUAUUCUUGCUCUUCUUAGGUUCUUUUGCUGUAGACAGCAUAGCUUCAAAUCAAGGCAUCAAAGAUGGUGAGACCAUUGUUUCAACUGGAGGAAUGUAUGAACUGGGCUUUUUUAGCCCCAGUAACUCAAACGAUCGGUACCUGGGAAUAUGGUUCAAGAAGAUAUCAACAGGUAGAGUGGUAUGGAUUGCUAACAGAGACUUUCCAUUACUCAAUAGAACAGGAAAACUCAAAGUCAGUAGUGAGGGACUCCUGUUGCUUUCCUGCUGUGGUGAUACAGUAAUCUGGUCAUCCAAUUCCUCUGCUUCUGUCAGGUACAAUAACAAUCCAGUGGCACAACUUUUGGAUACUGGAAAUUUUGUUGUAAAAGAUGGUAGUAGUAAUAGUAGUAGUUCUAUUCAAACAAAUUUCAUAUGGCAAAGUUUUGAUUAUCCUGAUGACACUUUGCUAGCUGGAAUGAAACUUGGUAAGGAUUUUGUAAGAGGCAUAAACAGGAGCUUGACAUCAUGGAAGAGUCCUGACGAUCCUUCUACAGGUCAGUAUGUAAGUUAUGUAGAUACAAAUGGAUACCCACAAUUAAUUGUGAGCCAAGGUUUAGUAAUAGACUUAAGAUUUGGACCAUGGAACGGCAUCAGGUUUAGUGGUUUGCCUUUUGAGACGUCAAAUCCAAUAUACUCUCAUGAUUUUGUUGUCAACCAGAAGGAAGUAUAUUAUAAAUUCGAGCUUAAGAGUUCAAUUUUUCAGAUAAUAUCUUUGAGGUGGGAUGGAAGCAUAGCAUUGUUGCAUUGGAACAAUCGAAGUCAAAAUUGGGUUGUGUAUACAAGUGGUCUGAUAGACAGUUGUGUUCGCUAUGGAAUCUGUGGUCCUUAUGGAAGCUGUAACAUCAACAGAAAUCCUCCUUGUAAUUGUAUGGAAGGUUUUGAACCAAAAAGCCCUGAAGAAUGGAACAUAGCAGACUGGUCUAAUGGGUGUAAGCUCCAAAGUCCUUUAGAUUGUAAGGGUGGGGAUGCCUUUCGGAAAGUUACUAAAAUGAAAUUUCCUGACACGCGAUAUUCAUGGUACAAUAGGAGCAUGACACUUGGCGAGUGUGAGAUAGCCUGCAGGAAAAAUUGCACUUGUACAGCUUAUGCGAAUUUAGAUAUCAGAAAAGAGGGGAGUGGAUGCUUACUAUGGUUUGGUGAAUUGAUGGAUCUCAAUGUCUGUGAAGAGAACCAAGAUCUUUACAUAAGAAUGCCUGCGUCCCUACUAACAGGUACUCUAAAUUUUUCACAACACUUCAUAUUUUUAACAUCAACAAUUACAUAGGGGAAAACACCAAAUAGGGACAAGAAAGCUAAACAAGCCAAUCUGAACUAUAAUACUACUUUAGAAAUGAGAUUGGUUAUAACUUUAGUAAGAAAAGCUGUUGAACUUGUUUCAUUUUGUAAAUGAAGGUCUUACAGUCUCCCAACCUGGCUUCAAUAGAAAGAUUGAAAUACUCAUCAUAGUCAUGCCAACUUUGGUGAUCUUAAUGGGCCUGUCUGUAGCAGUGUAUGCUUUCAGCAUGAAAAAGAAAAGGUCUUACAUCAAAGGUCGAGGUAAGGAAAACAUUAAACAAUUCACAAUGCCAUACUGGAAUUGUUUUUUUUCAGAAAAAUGUAAAACAAAAGGAAAAGUAGACAUUUCUGUUACUCAUGUAUAUCACUUUGUAGGUCGAAGGGUACACUCCACUGAUAGACAUAAUUCAGAUGUAGAGAAGGAAGAUCUAGAGAUGAAUUUUGUUAGCUUAUCUAUAAUAACCAAGGCUACCAAUAACUUCUCAAUAGACAAUAAGCUUGGAGAAGGUGGCUUUGGUCCUGUUUACAAGGUAACUUUUUGCCUAAAAUUAUUGUUUGCCCAUUUAGCAGAAAAGUAAAGCUAAUCAAAUUCCUGAGUAUAAUCUUUAGGGAGUAUUGGAAACAGGACAAGAAAUAGCUGUGAAGCAACUUUCUAGAACUUCUGAACAGGGUUAUGAUGAGUUCUACAAUGAAGUUGUUUGUGUUGCCAAACUUCAACAUCGGAAUCUUGUGAAGCUUGUUGGAUACUGCAUGGAUGGAGAUGAAAGGAUCCUGAUUUAUGAAUACAUGUCUAACAAAAGCCUGGACUUACUUCUAUUCGGUUAAACUCUUUCACCAUUCCAUUAUUUUCAUUACAUAAUAAAAGUAAUCUGUUAAAUCUAAAUCUUGUGUUGACAGAUGAAACCAAAAGUUGCAUGCUUGACUGGCCUCAACGUUUUUGCAUCAUCAAUGGGAUUGCUAGAGGAAUGCUUUAUCUCCACCAAGAUUCUCGCCUUCGAAUCAUACACAGAGACCUGAAAGCAGCCAAUAUUCUGUUGGAUCAUGACAUGAACCCUAAAAUAUCAGAUUUUGGCCUUGCUAGAGAGUUUGAAGGAAACCAGAUCACUGCAAAAACGAAGAAAGUGGUUGGAACAUAGUAAGUAUCUGUAUGUAUAGUAUAUACUAUGACCAUGGGGCUCAUUUCCUGAUGCUUAUAUAUACAUCAUGCUUUUUGGUGGUUUUACAGUGGUUACAUAUCACCCGAGUAUGCACUUCAUGGACGCUUUUCUGUAAAAUCAGAUGUGUUCAGUUUUGGUGUUUUGGUGCUGGAGAUAGUGAGUGGGAAGAAAAACAGAGAAUUCUCACAUGAAGAUCUCAAUGAUAACCUUCUUGGACAUGUAAGUAAAUCUCAUGGAUUAAUUAUCUUCUUUUGAAAAUAUUUUAUUAACUUUUUGGUUUUCAUUCAGGCAUGGAGACUGUAUACAGAAGGCAAGUACCUUGAUCUCAUGAGCCCAUCUUUACACAACUCAUGCAUUAUCUCAGAGGUGAAAAGAUCAAUACAUGUUGGGCUUUUAUGUGUACAAAAUCAUGCACAAGAUAGACCAACUAUGUCCUCUGUGGUUAUGAUGUUGGGUGGUGAGGGAUCACUACCUCCACCUAGACAACCUGCUUUCUUUGCUGAAGAAGGUUCACGUAAGCACUACACUUUUUCCAAAGUUGAUGAAGCAACUAUAACAUUGUUAGUUCCUCGGUAGGAAAUUUGUAUUCAUAUGCCAAAUAGUAAUGUAUAUUUAGCCUCGACACAUUCUUCUCCUACACCAUUAGUUGUUUUUUGUGUAUUAUGUAUCAUUAAGCUGCAUGCUUUUGUCAUUUGUAUCAUAUUUGAGUAUGCCUUUUCCUUCCAUGGGUAUUAUAGUGGCCACAACACAACAAAAGACACACAUACACAUUACAUGGGGUAUAACUAUCUUGUAUAUGAUCGUUACUACAGAGAAAUUGGUUGUAUGCCAUGUCAUCAGAUGUUCAUUGGCUUUGUGUGUGAUUUAUUCUUGUUUAUUCAUAACACUACUCUUAUAACUUGAUUAUCAAAAUAUCUUGUUGAGUCUUACAAAUCUCACCUAAUCAAUCAUGGACAUUCAGUUUUUAUAGGGUUCAAGUUUCUAUAAGAGGGAUGACAAGAUUGAGAAGUAACUUUUACACACUUUAAGAGUAUUUGGAUGUGUCUUUUAUAUCAAGAUCAAGGGUGCUGACAUAAACAAUCGAGGCAAGUGCCAAGAAAUACAUAUUUUUUUACUAGGUUGGGAUAAUAUGGGAUAUACUUUUCUGGAUUAUCAGAUUAUAAGAAGAAUGAAUGUUAUAUUCAAUUGGAAUAUAAAGAUGAUCUUGCAACACCUUUAUUAUAAAGAAAGAAGAAACCACAUGGAAAGGAGCAAGUAAUGCUUUAGAAGUAUAUUAAUACACCAAACUGGUAGAAGAUCCCGUCCCCAUCAACAAAUUAUUUUCUAUUGAAUAUACCGACUUCUCCCCAUGCAAAAAGAUUCAACAUUUAGGGAUUAAGAGAGAAGGGUGUCAAUCCGGUUACAAAAGUUUCAUUAGCUCUUGCCUAAACCUUAAGAUGAAGUAUGAUCUGAAGUUCAAAAGUGAGAAAUGUGACAACGUAUCUGCAUGACUGGAAGCCGUAUUUUGUUUUUGAAGUCACCGGAUCAAACGGUCAAUGGUCAAUGGUCUGGAAUAUCAUUUCAUUGAAUCUGAUUUGCCACAAACAAAUCCGAUAUCACAACCUUCAUGUAUUAUAUCGUUCGUGGGGUCCAUUUGCAUGUUUUAUCAUUAUUUGGACAUAUGUGAACGUUUACUGUUUUUUUCAAUAGAUUUUUUUGUUUCAUGUGAAAAACAUGAGUUGAUAUAACUUAUAAUCAUAAAAUCAGAAAUAAUCAUAAAAUCAUAAACACAUAAGAACAUAAAUAUNNNNNNNNNNNNNNNNNNNNNNNNNNNNNNNNNNNNNNNNNNNNNNNNNNNNNNNNNNNNNNNNUUUAUAUGCUUUUUAAAUCUUUUUUUGAAAGCUUUUUAAAAUUUGAAAAAAUCAUUUUGUUUUUUUUUUAAGAUUGCCAAAUCUUUUUUUGUGACUUAUUAAUUUUUUUUAAGCGUUGUUUCGAAAAGACAAAACUACAAAAAUGGUCUUUGUGGUUUGACGAUUUUUUUUAGGUAAGGUCUAAAAAAAGUUUACUAGUAAAAAAUGCCCUACUACAAUCUAUUUCUUUUCAUGGGUUUGUUAUGCAUUGUGUGGGUAGUCAGCCAGUGUAGUUUGUGUAGUUUUUUGUCGAGAGUUCAUGAUUGUAUGCGAAGAUCCGCGAUUUCCUAUGAGAUUAUGUGACAGGGAAAGAUAGUAGAAGACAAUGAAUGGAUGAACUAACAAGGAGUGUGUAGAUCAAACCUCCUAGUGGUUUGAAUGGUGGUGGGUAUAGCAGAAAAUGGUCGAUUUAGUGGCAAAUAUGGAGAAUUCCGACAGAUUGUGAAGAACUUGUAGUAGGUGGCUACUAGCGGUAUUGGGUGUAAUGGUAGGGUUUCCAUCGGACCUCCAAUGAAGGAGAUUGGCAGUGGUCUUUCCGAUUUUCGAUGUUAGGAGGCGGUGUUUUUGCGUGCUUCCGCAACUUUGUGGUGGACACAAUAAAAUUAAAAAAUUAAUAUUAUAUAUUAAAAAUAAUUUAAUAAUAUAAUAAAAAAGAAUUAAUACAAUAAAACAAUUAAAAAAGUUAAUUUGAAGAUAUCAACAAUAAAAGUAAUAUUUAAUAAUAUAUGAAUAUUAUUUAUUAAAAAUAAUAUUUAAUAAUAUAUAAUAAUCCAAGAAAAAAAUUAAUCCAAUAAAAAUUAGUUAAGAAAAAACUUAUUAAAAGAGUUAAUGUAUAAUAUUUCAAUAAAAUUAAAAAUAAAAAUUGUAGAAAUUGUCCUUAUAGUUUGGUAAAAAAGAUACAACUUUAAAAAUAAUCUCUAAGGAUAAAAUUGUCAUUUAAAAAAAAAUUAACAGUUAAACUGUUAAACUUAAUGAGAUAGAAACCAAAACCAAAACCUUUUUUUUUGAACGGCAAGUACAAUAUAUUCUUAAACUACUCCUAAAUCCACAUAUGUCUUAGAAGAUACUUGAACCCUCAACCUAAAGGAGGGAGGACAACACCUGAUAAUGACAUUUUUUGUUAGACUAUGCGGUACGAGACCGUUAAGUAGAGGAAGAUCAAAUGGCGAAAGAUUUGACAAUUCUUCGCACUCGGGAGGAAGAUAUAACGCCACGAGAAGUGCAAGUGGUACGAAAAAUGAAUGAGAAGAUUGAAAAUAAAUAUUUGGACUAGGACUAUUGUAACGUUUUUAUAUUUUUAAAUUAUGACUAUUGUAUUUUUGUGUUUAUUAUUAUUUUUUUCUUGUGUAACAUUAUUUUUAGUUUUUUUUAUGUAAUGUUUAAUUUAGGAUUUAAUUAAAUAGCAUAUCUUAUUGAUUUAUAUUUUUUUUAUAAACAUUAUAAUAUAAAUAAAAAAACAAAGGGUCAAUUACUAAUCUAGCUAAACUAAAGAAGUGAUUAACGAUUUUUAGCCAAAAAUUAGGAUUUUUCUCAAACUAGUCCACGAAACCGUAGGUGGUUAAAAUGGUCUACUGUUUCGCCCAUUCACCUAUUGUUUUGAUUUUAGUAUAUAAAGAUUUUUUUUUUCAUUUUUCACUAUGAAACCGUAGACGAAAAAAUGGUCUACUGUUUCCUCGGAGAAGUCUGCUGUUUCCCAAAUAGUAGAUUACAAAUGAUCUACUGUUUCGUCUAAAACCUACAGUUUUAGUUUUUUUUUAAUGAAAAAAAAAACACUAACUUUUACUGUAAAAGUUUGUUUUUUUCUUUUAAUAUAUAGUAGGUACAAUAUAGUAGUAAAAAAGUUAGUGUUUUUUUCAUUUAAAAAAAACACAAAACCGUAGGUUUUUAGACGAAACAGUAGAUCAUUUUUAAUCUACUAUUUGGGAAACAGUAGACUUCUCAGAGGAAACAGUAGACCAUAUUUUUGUCUAUGGUUUUGUAGUGAAAAAUGAAAAAAAAAAAAAACUCUUUAUAUACUAAAAUCAAAACAGUAGGUAAAUGGGCGAAACAUUAGACCAUUUUAACCACCUACAGUUUCAUGGGCUAGUUUGGGACAAAUCCUAAUUUUUGGCUAAAAUGUGAGAAGUCAUUAAUGAAUUUGGUUAGAUUAGUAAUUUUUCCAAAAACAAAUAAAAGAAAAGAAAUCGAAAAAAACAAUGAUAUGAAAAUUGAUAGGUGUUAAAUUAUGUUGUUUAUUUCCUAUUUUUGUAUUAUAAGACCAUGGGAUGGGAUGACUUAUAUGAUAUUUUUUUAGUAUGAUAUCAUGUCUUCUCAUUUUACUGACAUCCUCUUCGUAAUUUUUUUUUGACUUUACCUAAAUAAAUCAGGAAACCACAUCGACCAUUUCUACGGUUUUUCUUUCGAAAAACAAUUCGUGACACCCCCUUAUUAAGGCUGUCAAAUCGGACAGUCAUGUCGUGUUUUUUUCUGACACGACACGACACGACAAGGUUUUGGAUGACACGAACACGACACGACAUGAUGUCGUGUUUUUUUUUUCAUUAACACGAAAACGAACCAAUUAAAACACGACACGACACGAAAAAGAUAAUAUUACAUAACUAUUAGUGUAUUUCAUUCAUACUUAAAGAUAUAUAGCACGACAAAAACGACAAACACGACAACUAUAUGCUUAAUCGUGUCAAUUUAUGAACACGACACGAUAUCGUGUUUUUUAAUCUUGACACGAACACGACACGAGCACGAAUUCGAAUUUUGAUUUCCUUCCGAUUUUAUUCCGUUUCGUGUAUUUUUGUUGUGUCGUGUCAUAAAUUGACACCCCAACCCCUUAUAAGUUAUAACCCGAACCGAAUUACCUUAUCUUCAUUCGGUCCGGGUAACCCGCAACAUAUUUCGUCGCUCUUUUGAUUUUUUAAAGCAGACAAAAAUCAAAAGUCUAAAUUCUGGAGACUUUGCCUUCCUUCUUGAUUUUGACUUUGCUACUGAUGCUCGCGGGAUGCGAAUUGAAUUCCGAGUUAUUCUGAGGAAGGUAAAAAAACAGUGUCAUAGCGCGGGUGCAUUUAAUUUUGUUUCUAUUAUUUGAUGCUAUGAUUCGAAGGUAUGAACAUGAUCUCUGACUGAAUUUUGAGUUUCAUGUUUAUACUUUUGUUUGACAAAUAAGUUGAUUAUUAUUUUGAUGUUUCGCUCACUGCUUUUACUUGUAAUUGCUGUACAAUGUCGGUUUAGAGUUACAUAUUCGAUUGAUUGAAUGUGACUGAGUUAAAUGGAAAUACUUAGUACUGAAUCGGUAAUAGUCAAACGUUUUAUUGUUUAUUAUGUAUCCCUUAUAUUUAUUGUCGGAUGCAAGCAGCAAUAUUAAUUGCUGUGGCUUGGACAGAGUAUCUAAAAUAUUCAUUUAAAUAAGUUAAAUUGAAUCUUUCAAAUUUGAACAGCUCGAAGGAGAUAAGAUAUGUUCAUUCGUCAGCAGAUCAACACAGGAAAGAGCACGUGAACAACGAUAAGCUGUGAAAUCUAUAAAUAUCCAAGACGCUUUCUUUAAUACAAAUAAAUUUAUUUUUUUGGCAGGUUUUGUUCCUUUUUAAUAUAAAAUCUCAAUCACAAUUAUGGGGUCCACGCCCGCGGUCAGCUAUGUCUGCGCUCCCAACCUGACAGUAUUUUCCCGAGGAAGAAAUAAUUUAGUAAAUCGUUGAUGGAAGGCCUUUUCACAAGUUUAUUGUGCACCAUUUCUUUAUUCUUGCUCUUCUCAGGUUCUUUUGCUGUAAACAGCGUAGUUUCAAAUCAAGGCAUCAAAGAUGGUGAGACCAUUGUUUCAACUGGAGGAAUGUAUGAACUGGGCUUUUUUAGCCCCAGUAACUCAAACAAUCGGUACCUGGGAAUAUGGUUCAAGAAGAUAUCAACAGGUAGAGUGGUAUGGAUUGCUAACAGAGACUUUCCAUUACUCAAUAGAACAGGAAAACUCAAAGUCAGUAGUGAGGGACUCCUGUUGCUUUCCUGCUGUGGUGAUACAGUAAUCU